RNAcentral lists this long non-coding RNA (532 nucleotides) under Helianthus annuus (common sunflower). RNAcentral's name for it is "sRNA HanXRQr2_Chr05g0200291". Lineage: Eukaryota; Viridiplantae; Streptophyta; Magnoliopsida; Asterales; Asteraceae. The record is from RNAcentral.
UAUGGCUAACAGGAUUUGUCAGUGAUUUGGGCAUAACAGUGGAUAGAGCAGUGGUUCAAUGUGACAGUCAAAGUGCAGUUCAGCUAACAAAGCACCUGGUUUACCAUGAAAGAACCAAGCAUAUUAAUGUUAAACUACAUUUUAUAAGAGAUGUAGUUAAGUCAAGGCAAGUGUUGAUUUAAGAGGUGGAUACUUUAGAGAAUGCAGCAGAUAUGUUCACUAAAGUUCUACCUGGUCCUAAGUGGAGAUUGUUGGAGUUAGUUGGAAUAAAGUCUAACACUGGAGUUAGUUGGAAUAAAGUCUUAACACUUUAGACUGAAUUAACAAGUGCAGGAUAAAUGCAGGGACCAGUUAUGUAACUUUAGCACAGUUUAGUUCUUUCUUAGAAUGUAUUAGAAGUACAGGGGUCUGUUGUGUCAGUAUUGAAAGUUGUUUGUUAAGAGUCUGUUAUUAGCAGUUGCUAAUUGGGUUUAAAUAGUGAAUUGGGGAUUAGGGUUGGAUACCACAAUCAAUUGAGAGUCUCUAAUUUCUU